GUAUGCUCUGAAUCUGUGUCCAAUACAUGGUGCAGUUUCUCCCAUAGCCAGGAUUCACGGGUCCAGGAAUCAAGAGGUGGAAGUGGAAGUGGCACCAUUCAUCAUUAUCCCUAGUGACCCCCUAGCAACAUUUUUACUUCCUGUUCCCGCGACAUUAUGUUCUGCUGGCCUAGAGGUCUCAGUUCCAGAGGGAGGAAUGUGCCACCAGGAGACACAGCAACAAUGCCAUUGAGUUAAGAUUGCCACCUGGACACUUUGGGCUCCUCCUACCUUUAAGGCAACAGACUAAGAAGGGAGUUACAGUGUUGGCUAAGGUGACUGACUCAGACUAUCAAGAUGAAAUCAGUCGACUACUCCACGAUGCAGCUGGGUCAGAGGUUCAUUGUGAUGACUCAGGCUACGCAAGGGCCGUGGAAUGGACGUGCAGCUGUACUUCUAAAUUCCAAUGGGACAUCAGACUGGGGAGGAUUAUGACCGGGAAAUUCAUACCCAACUGGAGCCAAGACUCUAGGCACUGAUGCCAGACAAAGAACUCGUGGUGGAAUCUUGACUUUUCAAUUCAUUUCAUCUAUAAAUUCUAUUUAACUUAACAUGC
Molecule: long non-coding RNA, 595 nt
Filed under: Homo sapiens (human)
Lineage: Eukaryota; Metazoa; Chordata; Mammalia; Primates; Hominidae
Description: HSALNT0368752
Source: RNAcentral